This 255-nucleotide ribosomal RNA is filed under the name uncultured bacterium. RNAcentral's name for it is "partial 16S ribosomal RNA". It matches the Rfam family "Bacterial small subunit ribosomal RNA", at positions 524 to 776 of the family's 1533-position model. The record is from RNAcentral.
UACGUAGGGGGCGAGCGUUGUCCGGAUUCAUUGGGCGUAAAGAGCUCGUAGGCGGUUUGGCAAGUCGGAUGUGAAAUCUCCAGGCUCAACCUGGAGCGGCCAUUCGAUACUGCUAUGACUAGAGUCCAGUAGGGGAGUGUGGAAUUCCCGGUGUAGCGGUGAAAUGCGUAGAUAUUGGGAAGAACACCAGUGGCGUAAGCGUCUUGCUGGGCUGUAACUGACGCUGGAGGAACGAAAGCGUGGGGAGCAAACAGG